UACGUAGGGGGCGAGCGUUGUCCGGAAUCAUUGGGCGUAAAGCGCGUGUAGGCGGCCCGGUAAGUCCGCUGUGAAAGUCCAGGGCUCAACCCUGGGAUGCCGGUGGAUACUGUCCGGCUCGAGUCCGGAAGAGGCGAGUGGAAUUCCUGGUGUAGCGGUGAAAUGCGCAGAUAUCAGGAGGAACACCAAUGGCGAAGGCAGCUCGCUGGGACGUGACUGACGCUGAGACGCGAAAGCGUGGGGAGCAAACAGG
RNAcentral lists this ribosomal RNA (253 nucleotides) under uncultured bacterium. RNAcentral's name for it is "partial 16S ribosomal RNA". It matches the Rfam family "Bacterial small subunit ribosomal RNA", at positions 524 to 776 of the family's 1533-position model. The record is from RNAcentral.